CAAAGAAUAGUUUAAUGUAGAACGUUAGC
This 29-nucleotide transfer RNA is filed under the name Pagrus major (red seabream). Its description in RNAcentral is "partial tRNA-Pro". The record is from RNAcentral. Lineage: Eukaryota; Metazoa; Chordata; Actinopteri; Spariformes; Sparidae.